AAUGAACGCUGGCGGCGUGCUUAACACAUGCAAGUCGAACGAGAAGCCUUCGGGCGAGUAAAGUGGCGCACGGGUGAGUAACGCGUAGGCAACCUGCCCUUGUGUUGGGGAUAACACUUCGAAAGGGGUGCUAAUACCGGAUACGAUUCUUUGGCGAGAGCCGGAGGAUGAAAGUCGGCCGCUCAAAGAAGCUGACGCACGAGGAUGGGCCUGCGUCCUAUCAGCUAGUUGGCAGGGUAACGGCCUACCAAGGCGACGACGGGUAGCUGGUCUGAGAGGAUGAUCAGCCACACUGGCACUGGAACACGGGCCAGACUCCUACGGGUGGCAG
RNAcentral lists this ribosomal RNA (331 nucleotides) under uncultured Pseudomonadota bacterium. RNAcentral describes it as "bacterial SSU rRNA". It matches the Rfam family "Bacterial small subunit ribosomal RNA", at positions 29 to 351 of the family's 1533-position model. Lineage: Bacteria; Pseudomonadati; Pseudomonadota. The record is from RNAcentral.